This is a long non-coding RNA of Mobula hypostoma (lesser devil ray), 1210 nucleotides long. RefSeq lists it as uncharacterized. The record is from RefSeq and is a predicted model, not a curated record. The transcript has 3 exons. Lineage: Eukaryota; Metazoa; Chordata; Chondrichthyes; Myliobatiformes; Myliobatidae.
CUCUCACUCACACACUCUGUCUCACACACACACACUCUCUCUCACACACACAUCACACACACACACACACUCACACACACACUCUCUCUCACACACAUUCACACACAGACAUACACACACUCUCAGACUCACACACACACACAUCACACACUCACUCUCACACACACACUCUCUCUCACACACACACACUCUCUCACACACACAUACACACUCUCUCUCACACACACUCACACACACAUCACACACACACUCAGACACACACACAUAUCACACACACUGUCUCACUCACACACUCUCUUUCUCACACACACAUCACACACACACACACACAUCACACACACACACUUACACUCACACACACAUACUCACACUCACACACACACACUCACACACUCUCUCUGGCGCUGACUAUUUAGGUAAACGAUAUUUCACACCUGAUCUCUGGCCAUAACCAAACGCCCACUCAUUACCUCUGCCAGUAAAUAAAAUAGCAAUCUGAAAUUAUUCUGAAGGUCACUUGCUUCCUCCUCACAGUUUAUCACCGGCCUGUCUCUUCCUCUGCAGGUCACCUCUCAUCCUCCGUCGCUCCAAGGAGAAAAGGCCGAGUUCACUCAACCUAUUCUCAUAAGGCAUGCUCCCCAAUCCAGGCAACGUAAAUCUCCUGCCAUGGACCUGAUCUGAGACAUCCCUGACCCUGGCACCAGGGAGGCAACAUACCGUCCGGAUGUCCUGUUGUGCCCGCAGAGUCUCGUCUCCGUCCCUCUGACUGCAGAAUCUCCCAUCAACACUUCGCUUCUCUUCUCUUCUGAGCCACAGCACCAGAUGCAGUGCCAGAAACCUGGUCACUGCGACUCUCCCCAGGCCCAGCCAGCCCCCACUGCUGAGGACACCUUCAAUAGGUAACACCUCAAGAAGUUUGUAUCCAUCAUUAAAGACCCUCAUCAUCCAGAACAAGCUCUCUUCUUGUUGCUACGGAGGUACAGGAGCCUGAAGACACACACUCAACAUUUUCAGGAACAGCUUCUUCCCCUCUGCCAGCAGAUUUCUGAAUGGACAAUGAACCCAUGAACACGGUCUCAAGAUUUUUCUCUCUUAUUUUCACACUGUUUAUUUAUUUGUAUAUUUCUUAUUAUGACUUAUAAUACUUUUUGUAUUACGCUGUACUGUUGCCACAGGACAACAAAUUUCACCACAUUCCUCAGUGCUAAUA